CCAUGCCCUUUCACUUUACCAUGUAGAUUGGUACAUGUCUAUAUUGGUCAUUCAGAAGGGCUACAACAAACAUCUUCUUAAAACCCAAGCAAAUCAUUUAUUUGACUUGAGUCCUGUCAGAGGAGACAAUU
Non-coding RNA from Pelobates cultripes (western spadefoot toad), 131 nucleotides. NCBI's taxonomy places the organism in Eukaryota, Metazoa, Chordata, Amphibia, Anura, Pelobatidae. The record is from the annotation of a GenBank genome assembly.